RNAcentral lists this ribosomal RNA (522 nucleotides) under uncultured Pseudomonadota bacterium. RNAcentral describes it as "bacterial SSU rRNA". It matches the Rfam family "Bacterial small subunit ribosomal RNA", at positions 384 to 896 of the family's 1533-position model. Lineage: Bacteria; Pseudomonadati; Pseudomonadota. The record is from RNAcentral.
CGAUCCAGCAAUACCGCGUGUGUGAAGAAGGCCUGCGGGUUGUAAAGCACUUUCAAUUGGGAAGAAAAGCUUAGGGUUAAUAACUCUGAGUCUUGACGUUACCUUUAGAAGAAGCACCGGCUAACUCCGUGCCAGCAGCCGCGGUAAUACGGAGGGUGCAAGCGUUAAUCGGAAUUACUGGGCGUAAAGCGCGCGUAGGUGGUUUAGUAAGUCAGAUGUGAAAGCCCUGGGCUCAACCUGGGAAUUGCAUUUGAAACUGCUUGACUAGAGUAUGGUAGAGGGAAGCGGAAUUCCGGGUGUAGCGGUGAAAUGCGUAGAUAUCCGGAGGAACAUCAGUGGCGAAGGCGGCUUCCUGGACUAAUACUGACACUGAGGUGCGAAAGCGUGGGUAGCAAACAGGAUUAGAUACCCUGGUAGUCCACGCCGUAAACGAUGUCAACUAGCCGUUGGACUCAUUAUAAGGGUUUAGUGGCGAAGCUAACGCGAUAAGUUGACCGCCUGGGGAGUACGGCCGCAAGGUUA